CUUAGGGAUUAGAUACCCUAUUAUUAAAAAUGUAAAAUUUAAAUACUAAAUUAGUAUUAGUUAUGUUCUUGAAAAUUAAAGAUUCUGGCGGUAUUUUAGUCUAUUCAGAGGAACCUGUUCUGUAAUUGAUAGUCCACGAUUUAAUUUACUUUUUUUAAAAAUUUAUAUAUCGUCGUAAUUUGAAUAUUUUAAAAGAAUAUUUAAUAUUCAUUGUAUUUUUAAAAUAGUAAAUCAGAUCAAGGUAUAGUUUAUAAAAAAGGAGAAAUGGGUUACAAUAAAUUUAUUUAAGGAUUAUUUUUUGUAAUGAUUAUAUUAAUUUGGAUUUGAUAGUAAUUUAAUUUAGAUUAUUUAAAUGAUUGAAGCUCUAAAAUAUGUACAUA
RNAcentral lists this ribosomal RNA (380 nucleotides) under Arhopalus rusticus. Its description in RNAcentral is "partial 12S ribosomal RNA". The record is from RNAcentral. Lineage: Eukaryota; Metazoa; Arthropoda; Insecta; Coleoptera; Cerambycidae.